CAGGAAACAGCUUGCUGUUUCGCUGACGAGUGGCGGACGGGUGAGUAAUGUCUGGGAAACUGCCUGAUGGAGGGGGAUAACUACUGGAAACGGUAGCUAAUACCGCAUAACGUCGCAAGACCAAAGAGGGGGACCUUCGGGCCUCUUACCAUCGGAUGUGCCCAGAUGGGAUUAGCUAGUAGGUGGGGUAACGGCUCACCUAGGCGACGAUCCCUAGCUGGUCUGAGAGGAUGACCAGCCACACUGGAACUGAGACACGGUCCAGACUCCUACGGGAGGCAGCAGUGGGGAAUAUUGCACAAUGGGCGCAAGCCUGAUGCAGCCAUGCCGCGUGUAUGAAG
This 341-nucleotide ribosomal RNA is filed under the name Escherichia coli. RNAcentral's name for it is "bacterial SSU rRNA". It matches the Rfam family "Bacterial small subunit ribosomal RNA", at positions 69 to 410 of the family's 1533-position model. The record is from RNAcentral. Lineage: Bacteria; Pseudomonadati; Pseudomonadota; Gammaproteobacteria; Enterobacterales; Enterobacteriaceae.